CCGAGCCUGGUCUAGCCACCGCCUCCCCCGCUGCUGGCCAGCGCCCCCCGAGUCCCGGCCCGAUGCCGGCCGAACUCAGACAGGAAGGAGACUGAAGUCUGAAGAGGGAAGCCCGGGAACAGAGCCCAGGCAGCCAGGCCUCACUGGCCACGAUGCCGGAGGCACCUGAUGUGCUGGAGGAGACCGUGACGGUGGAGGAGGACCCCGGCACGCCCACUUCCCAUGUGUCUAUUGUCACAUCCGAAGAUGGCACGACCCGGCGCACCGAGACCAAGGUCACCAAGACUGUCAAGACGGUGACCACUCGGACAGUACGCCAGGUGCCCGUAGGCCCAGACGGACUCCCCCUGCUGGAUGGCGGCCCCCCACUAGGCCCUUUUGCAGAUGGUGCCCUGGACCGGCAUUUCCUGCUGCGUGGUGGUGGCCCAGCGGCCACACUCUCUCGAGCCUACCUCAGCAGCGGGAGUGGCUUUCCCGAAGGCCCCGAGCCCCGGGACAGCACCAGCUAUGGCAGCCUGUCCCGAGGGCUGGGCAUGCGGCCCCCACAUGUGGGCCUCCUUGGCCCAGGCCCUGGUGAUGGCUGCUUCACGCUGCCUGGCCACCGGGAAGCCUUCCCGGUGGGUCCUGAGCC
RNAcentral lists this small RNA (631 nucleotides) under Pongo abelii (Sumatran orangutan). RNAcentral describes it as "processed transcript". Lineage: Eukaryota; Metazoa; Chordata; Mammalia; Primates; Hominidae. The record is from RNAcentral.